RNAcentral lists this transfer RNA (74 nucleotides) under Variovorax sp. JS1663. It matches the Rfam family "tRNA". From Rfam's summary of the family: Transfer RNA (tRNA) molecules are approximately 80 nucleotides in length. Their secondary structure includes four short double-helical elements and three loops (D, anti-codon, and T loops). Lineage: Bacteria; Pseudomonadati; Pseudomonadota; Betaproteobacteria; Burkholderiales; Comamonadaceae. The record is from Rfam by way of RNAcentral.
CCCGCGUUAGCUCAAUGGAUCAGAGCACUGGCCUACGAAGCCAGGGGUUGUUCGUUCGACUCGAACACGCGGGA